AGAGAGAAGAGGAGGAGGAGAAGGAGGGUAAGAAGAAGAACAAGGAGAACAAGAAGAACAUUUACUUCGUGAACUAUACGAGGGGAAAUUGGUGUAACUGUAAGUUGUUUGCGAAAGGUUUGUGUCUGUGUGUGUGUUUUUAAGAGAGAUGAGGAGGAGAAGGAGGAGAAAAAGAAGAACAAGAGGAUCAUUUACUAGAACAAGAACGCGAAGAAGAGGAGGAAGAAUAGCAAGAACGAGAGGAAAAGGAAACGAGAGUAAAAACACGGAAAAAAAGAAGAAGAAGAACAAAAUCAAGAAGAACAAUUACUAGAACACGAACGCGGAGAACAAGAAUAACAAGAACGCGAAAAAGAAGAAAGAAGAACAAGAACAAGAAUAAAAAGAAAAGGAAGAAGAAGAAAAGAAAGAACAAAAUCAAAUAAGAACAAGAAGAACAAGAAAGAGAAGAAAAAAAAAUACAAGAACAAAACCA
Long non-coding RNA from Eriocheir sinensis (Chinese mitten crab), 475 nucleotides. RefSeq lists it as uncharacterized. NCBI's taxonomy places the organism in Eukaryota, Metazoa, Arthropoda, Malacostraca, Decapoda, Varunidae. The record is from RefSeq and is a predicted model, not a curated record. The transcript is spliced from 2 exons.